Molecule: non-coding RNA, 253 nt
Filed under: uncultured bacterium
Lineage: Bacteria
Also listed under: 2 other names
Description: partial 16S ribosomal RNA
Rfam family: Bacterial small subunit ribosomal RNA
Source: RNAcentral
UACGUAGGGUGCAAGCGUUGUCCGGAAUCAUUGGGCGUAAAGCGCGCGUAGGUGGCUUCGUAAGUCCGUUGUGAAAGUCAAAGGCUCAACCUUUGAAUGCCGAUGGAUACUGCGAAGCUAGAGUACGGAAGAGGCGAGUGGAAUUCCUGGUGUAGCGGUGGAAUGCGCAGAUAUCAGGAGGAACACCAAUAGCGAAGGCAGCUCGCUGGGACGUUACUGACACUAAGGCGCGAAAGCGUGGGGAGCGAACAGG